AUGUUCAUUUCAGCAGCACAUAUAAUACAAUUGGAACAAUGCAGGGAUUAGCAUGACCCCUACACAGGAAUGGCAUGCAAAUGCACAAAACAUUCUAUGUUUUU
Molecule: small nuclear RNA, 104 nt
Organism: Peromyscus maniculatus bairdii (prairie deer mouse)
Lineage: Eukaryota; Metazoa; Chordata; Mammalia; Rodentia; Cricetidae
Source: Ensembl